This 253-nucleotide ribosomal RNA is filed under the name uncultured prokaryote. RNAcentral's name for it is "partial 16S ribosomal RNA". It matches the Rfam family "Bacterial small subunit ribosomal RNA", at positions 524 to 776 of the family's 1533-position model. The record is from RNAcentral.
UACGGAGGGUGCAAGCGUUAUCCGGAUUCACUGGGUUUAAAGGGUGCGUAGGUGGGUAUGUAAGUCAGUGGUGAAAUCCCCGAGCUUAACUUGGGAACUGCCGUUGAUACUAUAUAUCCUGAAUGUCGUAGAGGUAAGCGGAAUAUGUCAUGUAGCGGUGAAAUGCUUAGAGAUGACAUAGAACACCAAUUGCGAAGGCAGCUUACUAUGCGAAUAUUGACACUGAGGCACGAAAGCGUGGGUAGCAAACAGG